Long non-coding RNA from Bactrocera neohumeralis, 268 nucleotides. RefSeq lists it as uncharacterized. NCBI's taxonomy places the organism in Eukaryota, Metazoa, Arthropoda, Insecta, Diptera, Tephritidae. The record is from RefSeq and is a predicted model, not a curated record. The transcript is spliced from 2 exons.
AGCUCUGCACUUUAUUUCGAAAUUAAUUAUGGAUGUUAAGGGCAGUGAAAUUUAUUUCCCUUCAAGCGCGCAGGAUGUUUCAGAUACAAAGAAGGGAUUUUGCACGAAAUUUGGGAUCAAGGGCACAAUCAGCGCAAUCGAUUGUACCCAUAUUGGGAAUGUUUCACCCUCAAGCACAGACGCAUACAUAUCUUUAUUAUCCAUUUGUGUUUUUGUUUGUUUAUUUUUAUUAAAACAGCUGUUUGACAGCAAAAAGCUUUUUACCUCA